This 926-nucleotide ribosomal RNA is filed under the name uncultured Bacteroidota bacterium. Its description in RNAcentral is "bacterial SSU rRNA". It matches the Rfam family "Bacterial small subunit ribosomal RNA", at positions 1 to 917 of the family's 1533-position model. The record is from RNAcentral. Lineage: Bacteria; Pseudomonadati; Bacteroidota.
UGGAUCCAGACUUUGAUCAUGGCUCAGGAUGAACGCUAGCUACAGGCUUAACACAUGCAAGUCGAGGGGAAACGACAUCGAAAGCUUGCUUUUGAUGGGCGUCGACCGGCGCACGGGUGAGUAACGCGUAUCCAACCUGCCCAUCACUUGGGGAUAACCUUGCGAAAGUAAGACUAAUACCCAAUGAUAUCUCUAGAAGACAUCUGAAAGAGAUUAAAGAUUUAUCGGUGAUGGAUGGGGAUGCGUCUGAUUAGCUUGUUGGCGGGGUAACGGCCCACCAAGGCGACGAUCAGUAGGGGUUCUGAGAGGAAGGUCCCCCACAUUGGAACUGAGACACGGUCCAAACUCCUACGGGAGGCAGCAGUGAGGAAUAUUGGUCAAUGGACGAGAGUCUGAACCAGCCAAGUAGCGUGCAGGAUGACGGCCCUAUGGGUUGUAAACUGCUUUUAUAAGGGAAUAGAGUGAGAGUCGUGACUCUUUUUGCAUGUACCUUAUGAAUAAGGACCGGCUAAUUCCGUGCCAGCAGCCGCGGUAAUACGGAAGGUCCGGGCGUUAUCCGGAUUUAUUGGGUUUAAAGGGAGCGUAGGCCGGAGAUUAAGCGUGUUGUGAAAUGUAGACGCUCAACGUCUGCACUGCAGCGCGAACUGGUUUCCUUGAGUACGCACAAAGUGGGCGGAAUUCGUGGUGUAGCGGUGAAAUGCUUAGAUAUCACGAAGAACUCCGAUUGCGAAGGCAGCUCACUGGAGCGCAACUGACGCUGAAGCUCGAAAGUGCGGGUAUCGAACAGGAUUAGAUACCCUGGUAGUCCGCACGGUAAACGAUGGAUGCCCGCUGUUGAUCUGAAUAGGUCAGCGGCCAAGCGAAAGCAUUAAGCAUCCCACCUGGGGAGUACGCCGGCAACGGUGCAACUCAAAGGAAUUGACGGA